GGGCCUAUAGCUCAGUUGGUUAGAGCACCUGACUCAUAAUCAGGGGGUCCCUGGUUCAAGCCCAGGUGGGCCCACAA
RNAcentral lists this transfer RNA (77 nucleotides) under Mariniphaga sediminis. RNAcentral's name for it is "tRNA-Met". It matches the Rfam family "tRNA". From Rfam's summary of the family: Transfer RNA (tRNA) molecules are approximately 80 nucleotides in length. Their secondary structure includes four short double-helical elements and three loops (D, anti-codon, and T loops). Lineage: Bacteria; Pseudomonadati; Bacteroidota; Bacteroidia; Marinilabiliales; Prolixibacteraceae. RNAcentral also lists the same sequence under 1 other name. The record is from RNAcentral.